UACGUAGGGUGCGAGCGUUAAUCGGAAUUACUGGGCGUAAAGCGUGCGCAGGCGGUUUGGUAAGACAGAUGUGAAAUCCCCGGGCUUAACCUGGGAAUUGCAUCUGUGACUGCAUCGCUAGAGUACGGUAGAGGGGGAUGGAAUUCCGCGUGUAGCAGUGAAAUGCGUAGAUAUGCGGAGGAACACCGAUGGCGAAGGCAAUCCCCUGGACCUGUACUGACGCUCAUGCACGAAAGCGUGGGGAGCAAACAGG
Molecule: ribosomal RNA, 253 nt
Filed under: uncultured bacterium
Lineage: Bacteria
Description: partial 16S ribosomal RNA
Rfam family: Bacterial small subunit ribosomal RNA
Source: RNAcentral